CCAGGGGAGCAGUAAAAUGCUAUAAUCCUGGGAGGACUACCGGUGGCGAAGGCGUCUAACCAGAACAGGUCCGACAGUGAGGAACGAAAGCUAGGGGAGCGAACCGGAUUAGAUACGGGAAAUCAGCCAAGCUGAUUUCUGGAGUUAUCUUGUAAUUCGUUUAUAAAAACUAUUAUGAGAUAUUGAAGGAAAUUGUCAUAAUGUUGAUUUACUCGCUAACUACCCGAGUAGUCCUAGCUGUAAACGCUGCGAGCAAGGUGUUGCAUAUUCUCCGUGAAUAUGCAGUGUCGAAAUGAAGAUGUUAAGCUCGCCGCCUGGGAAGUACGGUCGCAAGACUGAAACUUAAAGGAAUUGGCGGGGGAGCACUACAAGGGGUGCGGCGUGCGGUUUAAUCUAAUUCAACGCAGAAAAUCUCACCAAGGGCGACGGCAGGAUGAAGGUCAGGCUAAAGGUCUUACCAAACAAGCCGAGAGGUGGUGCAUGGCCGCCGUCAGCUCGUGCUGUGAAGUGUCCUCUUAAGUGAGGUAACGAGCGAGACCUGCACUCAUAAUUGCUAGCGAACUCUUUGAGGGAUCGAGCACAAUAUGAGGACUGCCUUGGAAACAAGGAGGAAGGUGCAGGCUACGGUAGGUCUGUAUGCCCCGAAUCCUUUGGGCUACACGCGCGCAACAAUGGUAGGGACAAUAGGAUAAGACUCUGAAAAGAGAAUUUAACCCUUUAAACCCUAUCCAAGUUCAGAUUGAGGGCUGUAACUCGCCCUCAUGACGAUGGAAUCCCUAGUAAUCGGAUGUCAUCAUCGUCCGGUGAA
Molecule: ribosomal RNA, 808 nt
Filed under: marine metagenome
Description: bacterial SSU rRNA
Rfam family: Archaeal small subunit ribosomal RNA
Source: RNAcentral